UACGUAGGGGGCAAGCGUUGUCCGGAAUCAUUGGGCGUAAAGAGCGUGUAGGCGGCCAGGUAGGUCGGUUGUGAAAACUGGAGGCUCAACCUUCAGAGGUCGACCGAAACCAUCUGGCUAGAGUCCGGGAGAGGAGAGUGGAAUUCCUGGUGUAGCGGUGAAAUGCGCAGAUAUCAGGAGGAACACCUAUGGCGAAGGCAGCUCGCUGGGACGUUACUGACGCUGAGACGCGAAAGCGUGGGGAGCAAACAGG
RNAcentral lists this ribosomal RNA (253 nucleotides) under uncultured bacterium. Its description in RNAcentral is "partial 16S ribosomal RNA". It matches the Rfam family "Bacterial small subunit ribosomal RNA", at positions 524 to 776 of the family's 1533-position model. The record is from RNAcentral.